AAGGGUAUAGCUCAACUCAUAGAGUGCAUGCUUAGCAUGCACGAGGUCCUGGGUUCAAUCCCCAGUAUCUCCU
This 73-nucleotide transfer RNA is filed under the name Camelus bactrianus (Bactrian camel). It matches the Rfam family "tRNA". From Rfam's summary of the family: Transfer RNA (tRNA) molecules are approximately 80 nucleotides in length. Lineage: Eukaryota; Metazoa; Chordata; Mammalia; Artiodactyla; Camelidae. The record is from Rfam by way of RNAcentral. RNAcentral also lists the same sequence under 3 other names.